This 990-nucleotide ribosomal RNA is filed under the name uncultured archaeon. Its description in RNAcentral is "bacterial SSU rRNA". It matches the Rfam family "Archaeal small subunit ribosomal RNA", at positions 455 to 1448 of the family's 1478-position model. The record is from RNAcentral.
GUGCCAGCCGCCGCGGUAACACCCGCAGCUCUAGUGGUGGUCACUUUUAUUGAGCCUAAAGCGUUCGUAGCCGGUUCUGUAAAUCUUCAGAUAAAUUCAUUCGCUCAACGGAUGAUCUUCUGAAGAGACUGUAGAACUUGGGACCGGGUGAGGUUGAAUGUACUUCCGGGGUAGGGGUAAAAUCCUGUAAUCCUGGAAGGACAACCGGUGGCGAAGGCGUUCAACUAGAACGGAUCCGACGGUGAGGAACGAGGGCUAGGGGAGCAAACCGGAUUAGAUACCCGGGUAGUCCUAGCUGUAAACACUGCCCACUUGGUGUUGCCUCUCUGUUGAAGGGGGGCAGUGCCGGAGCGAAGGUGUUAAGUGGGCCGCUUGGGGAGUAUGGUCGCAAGGCUGAAACUUAAAGGAAUUGGCGGGGGAGCACCGCAACGGGAGGAGCGUGCGGUUUAAUUGGAUUCAACGCCGGAAAACUCACCGGGAGCGACCUUUGGAUGAGAGUCAACCUGAUGAGUUUACUCGAUAGAAGGAGAGGUGGUGCAUGGCCGUCGUCAGCUCGUACCGUAGGGCGUUCACUUAAGUGUGAUAACGAGCGAGACCCCCAUCUCUAAUUGCAAGUAUGUCUUUGCGGACAUGCGCACUUUAGAGGGACCGCCAGCGCUAAGCUGGAGGAAGGAGGGGUCGACGGCAGGUCAGUACGCCCCGAAUCUCCCGGGCUACACGCGCGCUACAAAGGACAGGACAAUGAGUUGCAACCUCGAAAGGGGGAGCUAACCUCGAAACCUGUUCAUAGUUAGGAUUGAGGGCUGUAACUCGCCCUCAUGAAUGUGGAUUCCGUAGUAAUCGCGGGUCAACAGCCCGCGGUGAAUAUGCCCCUGCUCCUUGCACACACCGCCCGUCAAACCAUCCGAGCUGGUGUUGGAUGAGGGUAUGCCCGAGAGGACAACUCGAAUCUGAUGUCAGUGAGGAGGGUUAAGUCGUAACAAGGUAACC